This 415-nucleotide ribosomal RNA is filed under the name uncultured bacterium. RNAcentral's name for it is "bacterial SSU rRNA". It matches the Rfam family "Bacterial small subunit ribosomal RNA", at positions 8 to 431 of the family's 1533-position model. The record is from RNAcentral.
AGAGUUUGAUCCUGGCUCAGAUUGAACGCUGGCGGCAUGCCUUACACAUGCAAGUCGAACGGUAGAGUAGCAAUACUUGAGAGUGGCGAACGGGUGAGUAAUAUAUCGGAACGUGCCCAGUCGUGGGGGAUAACGUAGAGAAAUUUACGCUAAUACCGCAUACGAUCUAAGGAUGAAAGCGGGGGAUCGCAAGACCUCGCGCGAUUGGAGCGGCUGAUAUCAGAUUAGGUUGUUGGUGAGGUAAAAGCUCACCAAGCCGACGAUCUGUAGCUGGUUUGAGAGAACGACCAGCCACACUGGGACUGAGACACGGCCCAGACUCCUACGGGAGGCAGCAGUGGGGAAUUUUGGACAAUGGGCGAAAGCCUGAUCCAGCAAUGCCGCGUGCAGGAAGAAGGCCUUCGGGUUGUAAACU